RNAcentral lists this long non-coding RNA (548 nucleotides) under Canis lupus familiaris (dog). RNAcentral's name for it is "lncRNA (ENSCAFG00040018797.1)". Lineage: Eukaryota; Metazoa; Chordata; Mammalia; Carnivora; Canidae. The record is from RNAcentral.
CUUUUUUAUCCUCUUAACCACUCCUUUGAAUAAUACAAAUUUAUUACAAUAACCAAUUUUCCUUGAUGCUUUUAAAGAAAUCUCAAGCGUGAGCACUUUACCCAGUGGGCUUCUUUGCCAGUGGGCACCAAUUAAGCUCUUGUGGAAUGGCAAGCAAGAAGAAACUAUAGGAAAGAUUCACCUCAGGAACAUCACAAAAUGGGCAACCAGGGAACAGUGAUUUCAAGAGCACAUUAAAGUGUAAACGGCCUUGGUGGAAUUCUGACUAACGACAUUUAUAAAUGAGCUUGUAUUCAGCUUUGCAGAUUCUAAGACAAAGUGAUCUUACUUGGACCAAAGACAACAUUUCAGCUAAUUAAAGAAAAUUAGGUAAGCAAACUAAUUGGGUGAGAUUUGUUAUUUAAUCAGUUGUGGGGUACUCAGCAGGUGAUGUGUACUGGCAGGGAGAAUGAGGAAGAUGGAUUAUGCUAAUGAAUUAAGAUGUUAAUUUACAACCCUAAUGAAAAAAAAUAAAUGUUAUUCUCUCAUUCAGAAUGCUAAAGCAAAAU